AUGGUCGACAAACCGGAGGGCCGCCGCAAUGCGCUGCCCUACAGUGAGAAUGCUUACCUGCUCACUCUCCGGACCAUGCUACACCUUUUACGUCGGCCACCUCGGGGAUUUGAGGAAUUCGUUAAGGAACACUUCGGCCAUCGGGGAAGGUUUGUGCUCAGGGCAUGCAACGCGUGGCUGCAGGGAAAUAUUGUCGACAAUGCUCAUGCCACUGAAGUGAGUAGGAAGCAGCCGUGCUCGGCUGGGUUAAGGCUUGCACUCACCAAGGUAGUGCCAAGCCUCGUGGCAGCCUUCAUAGAGAUCCGAGCCGAGGGGUGCGAAGAGUACCAGUAG
This 333-nucleotide ribosomal RNA is filed under the name Triticum aestivum (bread wheat). RNAcentral's name for it is "partial small subunit ribosomal RNA". Lineage: Eukaryota; Viridiplantae; Streptophyta; Magnoliopsida; Poales; Poaceae. The record is from RNAcentral.